RNAcentral lists this ribosomal RNA (337 nucleotides) under uncultured bacterium. Its description in RNAcentral is "bacterial SSU rRNA". It matches the Rfam family "Bacterial small subunit ribosomal RNA", at positions 85 to 422 of the family's 1533-position model. The record is from RNAcentral.
CUUCGGGACAGUGGCGAACGGCUGAGUAACGCGUGGGUGACCUACCCUCGAGUGGGGGAUAACCCUCCGAAAGGAGGGCUAAUACCGCGUACGUUCACCUGAUCUCGGUUAGGUGAGGAAAGCAGUAAUGCGCUCGAGGAUGGGCCUGCGUCCGAUUAGCUAGUUGGUGAGGUAAUGGCCCACCAAGGCUUCGAUCGGUAGCUGGUCUGAGAGGAUGAUCAGCCAGACUGGGACUGUGACACGGCCCAGACUCCUACGGGAGGCAGCAGUUAGGAAUUUUGGGCAAUGGGCGAAAGCCUGACCCAGCAACGCCGCGUGGGUGACGAAGGCCUUCGGG